This 22-nucleotide unclassified non-coding RNA is filed under the name Chlamydomonas reinhardtii. Its description in RNAcentral is "small RNA Cre_3241". The record is from RNAcentral. Lineage: Eukaryota; Viridiplantae; Chlorophyta; Chlorophyceae; Chlamydomonadales; Chlamydomonadaceae.
UGGAGAUGGUGAUGUUGCGAUG